Molecule: unclassified non-coding RNA, 390 nt
Filed under: soil metagenome
Description: partial contains 5.8S ribosomal RNA, internal transcribed spacer 2, and large subunit ribosomal RNA
Rfam family: 5.8S ribosomal RNA (bases 4-121)
Source: RNAcentral
GAUAAGAACGUAGCGAAAUGCGAUACUUGGUGUGAAUUGCAGAAUCCCGUGAACCAUCGAGUCUUUGAACGCAAGUUGCGCCCGAAGCCAUUAGGCCGAGGGCACGCCUGCCUGGGCGUCACACGUCGUUGCCCCCCCAUCUACUCCUUCGGGAUUGCGGGGGGCGGAUGAUGGCCUCCCGUGCGCCUCGUCGCGCGGUUGGCAUAAAUGCCAAGUCCUCGGCGACGCACGCCACGACAAUCGGUGGUUGCGAAACCUCGGUUGCCCGUCGUGUGCGGUCGUCGCGCAUCGAGGGCUCGAAAAAAUUGCUGGGCUCUGUUUCGGCUUUCAACGCGACCCCAGGUCAGGCGGGGUUACCCGCUGAAUUUAAGCAUAUCAAUAAGCGGAGGA